Molecule: non-coding RNA, 2931 nt
Organism: Lolium perenne
Lineage: Eukaryota; Viridiplantae; Streptophyta; Magnoliopsida; Poales; Poaceae
Source: RefSeq, a predicted model, not a curated record
ACCAAAUCUCCUCUUCCUUUUCUCUUAAAACAAAAUCUAACCUAUAUAUCCCUGGGCUCCCUCCUUUAUCUGGCCCAUCUCUCCUUGUUCCCACCGCAGGCCCGAGCACACUCAUCUUUUCCCGGUCGCUUUCUUCCAGCCGAGCGAGCACAUGGAUGGCGUGACCGUGGUCCAUCCACCCAACCACCAUCGACCUCCACUCACCAGCUCCCUCAUGCGCCCCCUCUCCUUAUCUUCUACACGCCUUCUCCUCUACGCCAACCACGCUCCCUCUCCUUUCCCCUUCUCCACGAAAGGGAAGCCCCUCCAGGAACACCACGGAGAAACCCCCCACAGCAACCACCGACCUUGCUAUGGCGCCGCCGCUACACACCUUCCCUCGCCACUCCGAGGGCACCAAAAGAUGCGCCUCGUCCUCCUCUUCAAGCUGGUACAAGGAAUCGAGCCGGGAGAGCUCUAAUCAACAGCGAAUUCGCCGAUUCCAUCUCCGACCUGCUGCACUCCGGCGAGGAUUCCAGCCACCUCCUUCCUUCCCCGCCAUCUCCAGCCACACGUACACGUUCAGGAUGCUCGCCGUCGGCCUACCUCCGGUGGUUCCCCGGCGCCAAGGCCACCACCAACAGACUCCCCUUGAACUCGUGCGUCGAACGCGCUACCUCCCGCGUCCUAGUUCACGCUAAAUCGCCAGAUCCGUGCUCGACCAGAUCUCCCGGCCAUGGCUGCAGUUUUCAAGCUCGUCCCUGCCUACCUGUUCGUUCUUCUUCGGCCGCACCAGUACUUUAACAAGAUCUAAACAGCAGCCCAGAUGGCAACAUCUCCCGCAAAUGGGCUCAGCCCACUUGCCAGCUAGCUUUCUCGCCGCCUAGCGCGCGGCAGGCCGCUAUCCACCGCCGUCUCUGCGCAGGUCCGGCCCAAUUCAUCCCUGCCUUCCCUCUCUUCUUUGUUUUUGCAGAAAAUGUUUAAAUCUUGCGAAAUUCAUAUCUCCUAAACUAUAACUCCAAAUAAAAAGUGUUUUAUAUAAAAAUUGCUCAGAAAAAUAUGUUGAACAUGAUUAUGCCAUCCAUAUGCAUGUUUGCAUCUCGCAUCAUGUCGUGACGUGUAGAUUGUGUAUAUCACCUAAUAUUGAACCGCGGAGUAUUUCGGACACCGCCUAGGGUUUCCCCGCUCCAUUUAAUAUUGAAGUAGCGCACCUCUGCCAUGUUUGCUAUGCUAAUCCACCCUUAAAUUUGUCGGUAGAAAAUGCAACUCCAACUCUAAUUUGUUUGUUCGGGGUUUCGACUCCGAUUAAUAUGGAUAAAUUGCAUUGCACCAUAUUCGCCAUGCCAUGCAUAUCAUCUUGAGCAUGCCGAAUUCUUCUCCGUAGUUGUAAGAUUUGCAUCCGUUGUUUGUUGUACAUUUGCUUCUUCCCGGAUAGGAUCCCAAAGUGGUGAUGCGAGAUACGACGAGUUCUCCGACAAGUUCUUCUACAGUUUUUCACAUGCGAGCCCACCCCUUCACCUAUUUUACAUUUAGAUGCUCUUUUGAUCUAUUGCUAUCCCUAUGUUGCGAUUCUGUUGUGUCACGUGUCCUAUUCCACCUGUUACCCUAUAUGAUCCGAGGUACACCUCCUUGCCCUACCUGAUGUUUGUUGUUUACCAGCUUUGCGAGUCGUAGGCGAGUUUAGGGUCUUGUUGAUAUCUCGAGAUGUUCGGGAUAUCUUGUUGGGAGGUUAUCACAUGCUAUAUCAAUUGUUGGAGAUACACAUGCUUUACUUAUUUGUUAACAACUAAAAUUGUAAGCAGAGGCAUCUGUGAGCCCCCUUGCGAAAGCAUCAGAACUUUGACUUGCUAAUGUCCCCUAGGACCCGAGUUCUUGUUAUCUGUUCCGAGAUUGAGCGCUCUACCCGUACGUGGGGGAGUGGGACCCCCAUCACCCACUACCUUUCCUCGAGUCUGUUUAUUGGGAGCCACAACCUUGGUUUUAUUUGCUCAUAUGCACGAUGCACGAUUUACUUAUGUUGCCUUCGGGUGUUUAUAUUCUGUUCUGUACUCAUAUCGUGGAACGAUUAGCGAAAGCAGGUUGUUCACACUUAGCUUAGCCGUUGUCACAAACCUCUGGGUCCGUAUCGGAGUACGGCCGAACUUCGUCACGGGUAGCUUAGUUGGGUGGCUCCCCUUAAACUUUCUCUUGCAUUGGGAACGGUCUUGUUGUUAGACUUCACCUGUAGUAAGUGGGGUCGAGCAUGCGUAUGGUUACAUUUGGGCAACCCCUGCAGGGUGUACAUCUUAUCGAUAAGCCGUGUCCGCGGUUAUGGACGACUUGGAAUUGUAUAGCUUGAUCAUAGAACAACUUACACCUUAUAUCCUGUUGCUAAUAAUUUGCUAAUAAAACUUUUUUCAAAAAGUGUGUGUGUGCCUUUGACCAUACCUCUUUGCGAAGGGGGAUCGCAUCGGCUGUGUUAUGUUUGCAGAGUAUAGAACUGUUACCUUGUGCGCUCUCUUAUCUUCUCUGAGUAGACAGAUGUUGUAGCGAGUUUCUAUUGGAUAGUAGCUUUGCUGCCGCUAAACUCCACAUAUAGCCGGGUGAAGUUUAUACCGCCCACCAGCGAGCAUAGCUGGUCUUGUCUCGCAAGUACGUGCCAAUGGUACUUACCCUCGCCUUCCUUUCUUUUUGUCUCCUCCCCCUUCUGUCAGCAACCGAUGGCCCAACUUUGACAGGUACGAGAUGAUGACGUUAGCAAGGUUACCCUUCCGGCUUGGCCUGGGCAGGGUUAUGGACGCCGCUGGUUAUCUUCAGGACUCUUAGUCCAAUUUGUAUCUUGUCCGUACUCGGACGUAUUUGAUCUUCUGUAUGAUUUGGAUCUUUGUAUUGUAUAUCUGUAUCUUGACUCGUUGGAGUCGUUGUUGUAUUAUAUGUAUCUUGUGGGCUCUAUUGUAAACCUGUUGUAAUGUU